Molecule: transfer RNA, 44 nt
Filed under: Paracercopis chekiangensis
Lineage: Eukaryota; Metazoa; Arthropoda; Insecta; Hemiptera; Cercopidae
Description: partial tRNA-Leu
Source: RNAcentral
CAAUGAACUUAAGAUUUAUUUAUAAGAAAUAAUCUUUAUUAGAA